CUUAAAAACGUUAGCCAUGCC
Molecule: non-coding RNA, 21 nt
Filed under: Arabidopsis thaliana (thale cress)
Lineage: Eukaryota; Viridiplantae; Streptophyta; Magnoliopsida; Brassicales; Brassicaceae
Source: RNAcentral